Molecule: long non-coding RNA, 411 nt
Organism: Mesocricetus auratus (golden hamster)
Lineage: Eukaryota; Metazoa; Chordata; Mammalia; Rodentia; Cricetidae
Exons: 3
Source: RefSeq, a predicted model, not a curated record
UGGAGCUCAGGGUGGGGCAACCCCCUGUGGGGUGUCUCCCAGGGAGUAUGCCAAGCUGUGACUGAUUGUGUUUUCUAAGCAGGUCACCUGGCUACCAAUGGCUGCCUUCCUCUGCACCCUCGGAACUCUUGCGCUCUGUGCUUCAGAAGAAUUUGUGACAGCACUAUGUCCAUCCAGAGAUAAGAUGCAGUGAAACCAAUCUUCCAUCAAAUUUAAAAAUUAAAGAUGGGGCUAGAGAGAUGGCUCAGUGUCUGGCAGAGAGCCCCCACGUUCAGUUCAUAGCGUCCACAUCGAGGAGCAGCUAACAACUUCAUGUGCCCUCUGCUGCCUGCGAGAGUACUUGCACGCAAGAGCCCAUACCCAUGCCCCCACAUAUUGUAACAGAGUGAAAUAAAGCCGUAAAUAUUUUAA